Molecule: long non-coding RNA, 1226 nt
Organism: Galleria mellonella (greater wax moth)
Lineage: Eukaryota; Metazoa; Arthropoda; Insecta; Lepidoptera; Pyralidae
Exons: 2
Source: RefSeq, a predicted model, not a curated record
UACGAGCCGUGUUUUAUUAUUCAUCUGUCACGACAAUUUACAUGCACGAUAUUCGUCGAUUUAUUGACUUCGAAUUAUUAGACUGUAUAAUAUUACAUUUUUCAUUACGAAAUACAUAAACCCUGGUCAUAAAUAAAAAUUAUUAAAAACCUAAAUCCGUUUGAUCCGUUCGACUUUCAAAUUGAUGUCACAGCCACACGAUUGUUAAGCAGGCUUUGUCGCAGAACAAAUUAUCAAGUACGAAAUAAUCAUCACCAUCACUUGGUCUCACUGAAUUCAACAAAAGCACAUUGUGAUCGUAAAAUAACUAUAGAACAUAAAAAUAAUAACCAGUUUUAAGCCGGCAGCACUGUAUUGACCCGAACCCUUGAAACCAUGGGGAAAAUAUACAUUUUUUAUCAACUUAGAUCGAUUCUCAGUGUUCUAUGAUGCACAGAGAGCGGGACUGCGUAACGUACUCCCUACAACCAAUUCCUUUUAUGUAACAAUAUCACUCACGAGCACCUUUGUAAUUUCAUUAAUAACACCUAAAAAUCGAUUCCACAACAAGGUUCACGACAAUUCAAACACAAGUCUGCGGCGGCGUGAUAAAAUAUAUUAUGUUCCUAACUAAAGCUGCGAUGUAAUACUGCACGAUAUAUAUUUCAUAGUAAAACACUUUUGUGACUACAAUGUGGGAUAUACGUGUAAAUUAUGACAAUGCCAACCAAUUUUCCGUGUCAUAUUUCUCUACAAUGGUGCAAACAAUAACUGAUGGCAAGAACGCACGACUCGAACUAUGCACGCUCGCUUUGACACUAACCUUUGCAUAGAUGUCGCCGUACUCGCGGCCAUAAUGGAAAUGGCCGCUGACAUAAACCGUCAAAUAACUACAAGCUAUUUUCAACUUUAAUAACACGCAGUAAGUUGGAAAAUGGAUUAACAAUAUUCCACCAAAACUAUGAUUCGAUUGUAUAAGACGACCGAUUAAAAAACACUCAAUUGUACUGCACUUUGAUGCGAUGAAACGUGCAUUUUGUGUAAUUCGUACUAUAUCGAGGAUCUUUUUGUCUCUUUUUCUUGGAGGCGAUUUGGAACAAAUAAUAAUUUUAUUCUACGCUUGCGCGAAGCUCUUCAUCUAUAAUAAUAUGAACUUUAUUCCUUUGUUGUAAAGUCUUUUAACCAUUUGGGCAAAGCUAAGACAAUAAUUAUUUGUUGUUCCAUGACCAAUAAAAUAUUUUAAUUUA